UGGCGGACGGGUGAGUAACGCGUGGGUAACCUGCCUCAUACAGGGGGAUAACAGUUAGAAAUGACUGCUAAUACCGCAUAAGACCACAGCACCGCAUGGUGCAGGGGCAAAAACUCCGGUGGUAUGAGAUGGACCCGCGUCUGAUUAGGUAGUUGGUGGGGUAACGGCCUACCAAGCCGACGAUCAGUAGCCGACCUGAGAGGGUAACCGGCCACAUUGGGACUGAGACACGGCCCAA
This 238-nucleotide ribosomal RNA is filed under the name uncultured bacterium. RNAcentral describes it as "partial 16S ribosomal RNA". It matches the Rfam family "Bacterial small subunit ribosomal RNA", at positions 96 to 334 of the family's 1533-position model. The record is from RNAcentral.